CGACUGCAGACCGCAGAUUAACUAUCAGUGAUUUUAGGUUAAGUCUCAUUAAUACAUGUUUGUACACAGUGCUUGGCCGGGACUCGCAACAUCUCCGAGUUCAGGGCCGGGCUUGUUCGGCGCACACAACUGCAGACAAUCUUUAUACGUGAAUUAUACGGGUGAUGCCGGAGGGUGGGAGGACCGAAAUGAAUUAUCGUAUCAUUUGCUAGCUGAGGCCGCCAAGGAGUGCGGCCUUACAACUAGCUUUACUUGAGGCCAUUUGCUGGACAAACGACUGAAGGAUUGGGCCUAGAUCGCGCCUGCUGCUCACAAUGACACUCCUUUACACCGAGGCGGCCAAACGCAGACUGGGUGGGUUGCCUGUCGUUUGCAGAUGUGAUGGAGGCGAUUUUAAUCCGCCGAACGCUUCUCUCAUCUCAGCAACACAUACAUAAUGCUGGCGGAGCUCAGCAGGCUGGGCAGCAGCUAUGCAAUCGACGGUUCGGGCCAAGACCCUUCGGCAUCCUGGGAAGAUUUAAACUUCUUCAGGUGAUGAAUUGGGAUGGUUUCAACAGAGUCUUCCAGCUGUUCCCAAAGAUGCUGCGCCUGGACAAAAACAGCUCCAGUUGAAGUUAGGGAUGGAAUCAGAUGUACAUCAGCUCUGGC
Molecule: long non-coding RNA, 648 nt
Organism: Hypanus sabinus (Atlantic stingray)
Lineage: Eukaryota; Metazoa; Chordata; Chondrichthyes; Myliobatiformes; Dasyatidae
Exons: 3
Source: RefSeq, a predicted model, not a curated record